Molecule: ribosomal RNA, 442 nt
Filed under: uncultured bacterium
Lineage: Bacteria
Description: bacterial SSU rRNA
Rfam family: Bacterial small subunit ribosomal RNA
Source: RNAcentral
AACGCGAAGAACCUUACCUGGGCUUAACAUCCACUGACAAUUGCAGAGAUGUGAUGUUCCCUUCGGGGACAGUGAGAUAGGUGCUGCAUGGCUGUCGUCAGCUCGUGUCGUGAGAUGUUGGGUUAAGUCCCGCAACGAGCGCAACCCUUAUCCCUAGUUGCCAUCGGGUCAAGCCGGGCACUCUAGUGAAACCGCCCAGGAUAACUGGGAGGAAGGUGGGGAUGACGUCAAGUCCUCAUGGCCUUUAUGUCCAGGGCUACACACGUGCUACAAUGGUCGGUACAAACCGUCGCAAACCCGCGAGGGGGAGCUAAUCGGAAAAAGCCGGCCUCAGUUCGGAUUGGAGUCUGCAACCCGACUCCAUGAAGCUGGAAUCGCUAGUAAUCGCGGAUCAGAACGCCGCGGUGAAUACGUUCCCGGGCCUUGUACACACCGUAGAGAC